Molecule: transfer RNA, 88 nt
Filed under: Candidatus Methanoperedentaceae archaeon GB37
Lineage: Archaea; Methanobacteriati; Methanobacteriota; Methanomicrobia; Methanosarcinales; Candidatus Methanoperedentaceae
Also listed under: 1 other name
Description: Candidatus Methanoperedenaceae archaeon GB37 tRNA-Leu
Rfam family: tRNA
About the family: Transfer RNA (tRNA) molecules are approximately 80 nucleotides in length.
Source: RNAcentral
UGCGAGGGUUGCCCAGCCAGGUCAAAGGCGCAAGGUUGAGGGCCUUGUCACGUAGGUGUUCAUGGGUUCGAAUCCCAUCCCUCGCAUC